RNAcentral lists this ribosomal RNA (228 nucleotides) under Triticum aestivum (bread wheat). RNAcentral describes it as "partial small subunit ribosomal RNA". Lineage: Eukaryota; Viridiplantae; Streptophyta; Magnoliopsida; Poales; Poaceae. The record is from RNAcentral.
AUCAAAAGCCCAAGAAACAAAGAGAGGACGUGUGUGGCUUGUGUCGAUGGCCUUCAUCAUUCCACACCAUGUGAUGCUAGGAGCGCCUCCCUCUCCUCCUCAUCCCCCAACUUCCAAGAAGCAAUCAUGCUGCCUGGAGCACCUUGGGCCCUUCGCCAUCAUCACCACCACCUCCUCCUCUUUCCUCCGGCACCUACUUCCAAGAAGGAGAGGUCGGGGGAGCUAUAG